UCGGCAUUGGUGUUACAAUACCUGUUUAUGCUGUCAUCUUCCAACAAAAGAAAACUGCUUCUGCUUAGCUCUCUAUCUCAUCUCUCUCUCUCUCACUCUCUCUCUCUCUCUGCAUGUGUGUACCUUCCACUCUUCACUUGAGCUUUAACAAUGGCGGAACACGACCCCAUCACUCCUCUACUACCCAAACACCGCCUCUCUCAUCCCUCCGACGAGCCUCAACUGAUUAUACCCGUGGACGAUGAUUGGGGUUCCGAAGAAGAACCCCCAAAUCAAAUUCACAACUACGAAACGGAUCCGAUUAACAAUACCCAUUCAGUGAUUGAGAACCCAUUUGAGUUUCUCGGUGCUGGACCUCUCUCCGUGCCUUCCUCGACCACUAUCGAUCCCUUUCGCAGCCACACGCCGCAAAUUAAAGAGAUUUAUGAGUGGUUGAAGAUCCUGAUUUGUGUGCCUAUUGCGAUUGUUCGGCUCGUGUUAUUUGGUUUGUCUUUGUUGAUUAGAUAUGUGGGUACCAAGUUUGCUCUCCAUGGUUGGAAGGAUAAACAUAACCCAAUGUACAAAUGGAGGUGUAGACUCGUGUGGAUUACUCGAAUUUGUGCUUGGUGUAUCCUCUUCUCUUUCGGCUACCAUUGGAUAAAACGUAGAGGAAGACCUACUCCAAGGGAGACCGCUCCUAUUGUUGUAUCCAAUCAUGUAUCAUAUAUUGAUCCUAUUUUCUUUUUCUAUGAAUUAUUUCCCACCAUUGUUGCUUCCAAGUUCCAUGAUUCCAUACCUUUGAUUGGAACCAUUAUUAGAGCAAUGCAGAUUGUAUAUGUUAAUAGGUCCUCACCAACGUCAAGAAAGCAUGUUGUCAAUGAAAUAAAGUUCUUAAGGUCAAAUUGAAGAACACUUCAAGAAUUUCGUUUUGACCGGUGGAGAUUGAAUUUCGGCAACGUCAAAUUUUGGAGUUUUCAUUCAUUUUCUCUCCUAAGCUUGAGGAAAAGAUGUGGUGAUUCCACCCAACUAGGGGCGUGGAAGCAUGUGUGUUGGGAGUACAAUGCUCUCAUUUUGCGUGACUCUGUUUUGUAAGCCAAUGGCUGUAUUUGUGUGGGUUUGAAUAACCGAUUUGUGUAACCGGGCCUUAGCCUUGGAAAUUGUUAAACCCAUUAAGGUAUUUAUUUGUUUUAUGUUAUUUUGAUUUGAAGUAAAUGUAUUAUCAUUUGUGCAUAAAAAUUGGGGCGUUACAACUUUACCAUACUCAUGAUUUACCUUGUGCCCAUGAGAUUGCUGACUACAUUAGACAAGAUCGUCCUAUACCACUUGUUACCAUACACUUACAGUGGAGGCAACUUCAUAUCUCCAUAUGCAACAAAGAAG
Molecule: non-coding RNA, 1359 nt
Organism: Camellia sinensis
Lineage: Eukaryota; Viridiplantae; Streptophyta; Magnoliopsida; Ericales; Theaceae
Source: RefSeq, a predicted model, not a curated record